CCCGGCUGCCCGGGGCAGUGGCAGGGGCUGGCGUGCUAGCUGAAAGACCGGCUGGACGCCGGGGACCCCAUCUCUCCACACUCAAGCCCCCCCGCACAGCUCCCGCCUGCCAGCGAGAAGAGCCUAACAUUUCUCAUCUGUGACGUGGAAUCGGGGCUCUGCUGGGAUCUCGGGAUGGUGCCGACGUUCCUCGGACAGACCAGGAGACGCCAUGGCAGUGAGGAAAACCAAGUCUCAAGGAAGCCAUUCGUCCGGAAGACUGCUGGCCCACAUGAACCAUGAUCUCCUCUAGCCUGAGACCAGAAAAACUAGAUGGUGCCUAGCUGCCUCUUCUGACCAUUCUGAUCCUGGUUAGGAUGAGAGAAACAUGUAGGCCCAAACUCAAAUUCAUACAAAAGACCAGACUUCCUGAUCCAAUAAGGGAUGGGAGGAAUCCUGGACAGUAUGGCCUAAGUCACCUGCUAAGGUGGAGAAGAAGGCACUCCUAGAGGCCAUCUCUCAACCAAAGAACAGACUGGUCUAUGGCAGAAACAAGGAGCCCGAAUGGCGCCGUGGGUUGUAUUGGGCUGCUAAGGUUGAUGGUUCAAAACCACUCCCUACUGCUUGGGAAACAGAUGAGGCCGUCUGCUCCUAUAAUGAUUUACAGUCGCGGAAACCCAAUGGAGCAGUUCUACCCUGCUCUACUGGGUCACGAUGCGUUAGGAUCGACUCGACAGCAGUGGGUUUUGUUACGGAGUAAACAAUAACGCCAGUGAGACAGGCGCUGCUAGGAACAGCCAAGUAUACAAGACCAAAGGAGCAACAGCCAUCAGCAAAGUUUCCCGUCUGUAAAUUCGCAUCAGAACACCUCCCAUGCCCAUUGGUAGGUGACAAAGUCACGGAAAGAGCUCAGUGUCCCUCCAGUGCCCAGCAGCCAGCAGCGAGCUCUGCAUACAGGGUUGCUGCGUGCCCCAGUGCCCAUUUCAGCUCAUAACGACCUUUUACGACACAGUAGAACUGCCCCCUAGGCUGGAGUCUUUAUGGAAACGAUCAGGUCUUUCCCCACGAAGCCACUGGGGGGUGGGGGUGGUAUUCCAAGUACUGAUAGAAAUUUCAGUUAGAAGCAAAUUGUUUAAGCAUGGUGCCGCCAAGGCUUCUUCUGUACCCGGCAGACCCUUGAAAUGUGACAGGAUUGAGAAAUACAACUUUCCUCUAGUUCCUAAAUGUUUCCUCCCCGCUCCCACUAC
Molecule: long non-coding RNA, 1226 nt
Organism: Echinops telfairi (small Madagascar hedgehog)
Lineage: Eukaryota; Metazoa; Chordata; Mammalia; Afrosoricida; Tenrecidae
Exons: 3
Source: RefSeq, a predicted model, not a curated record